GAGGGUAUAGCUCAGUGGUAGAGCAUGCGCUUAGCAUGCCUGAGGGCCUGGGUUCAAUCCCUAGUGCUUCCG
Molecule: transfer RNA, 72 nt
Filed under: Camelus ferus (Wild Bactrian camel)
Lineage: Eukaryota; Metazoa; Chordata; Mammalia; Artiodactyla; Camelidae
Rfam family: tRNA
About the family: Transfer RNA (tRNA) molecules are approximately 80 nucleotides in length. Their secondary structure includes four short double-helical elements and three loops (D, anti-codon, and T loops). Further hydrogen bonds mediate the characteristic L-shaped molecular structure. tRNAs have two regions of fundamental functional importance: the anti-codon, which is responsible for specific mRNA codon recognition, and the 3' end, to which the tRNAs corresponding amino acid is attached (by aminoacyl-tRNA synthetases). tRNAs cope with the degeneracy of the genetic code in two manners: having more than one tRNA (with a specific anti-codon) for a particular amino acid; and 'wobble' base-pairing, i.e. permitting non-standard base-pairing at the 3rd anti-codon position.
Source: Rfam by way of RNAcentral